GAGAAGCUUCAAGUAGGUCAGACGGUGUCAACGGUUUGCAAUCCAGGAUCCACCCCAGUGGGCUUAGGGGAGUAGAGCAGCAGGAGCACUUGGAAAGAUGUAUACUCCAUUUAGGCAAAAAUAAUUCCCAGGGAAUAGUCAUUGUCACAAGCAAUAAUUUUAUACUGUAACCACAAGAGAAAGAAAACUGUAGGGACUUCUCUGGUGGUGCAGUGGUUAAGAAUCCGCCUGCCAAUGCAGGGGACACAGGUUCCAUCCCUGGUCCGGGAAGAUCCCACAUGCUGAGGAGCAACUAAGCCCAUGCGCCACAACUACUGAAGCCCACGCACCUAGAGCCUGUUCUCCGCAACAAGAGAAGCCACCGCAAUGAGAAGCCUGCGCACCGCAACCAAGAGUAGCCCCCGCUCGCCACAACUAGAGAAAGCCCAUAUGCAGCAACGAAGACCCAACGCAGCCAAAAAUAAAUAAUAAUUUGAAAAAAAAAGAAAACUGGGUGUUUCAUAAACUAAGCUGAUCAAAUCAAUCUUUGGCUAGCUAUUCAAGUUACUCAUUUCUUUGCUUUUAGCUGUUUUAUUUCUUAUGUUACAUACUAUAAUUUCCUCUUGCAGUGUUUAAAUUCUCUUUUGACUGAUUGUAGAGGAAAGAGUAUAUUUUCCAGUCAUGCUUCAGCCCAUCAUAGGUAAGAAAUCAGUUCACUUCAGAGAUCAGGUGUGGUGGCAAUGAAAGCAGACUAGCACAAGUUUAUGGACAGGGAGAUAGAGUGAAAAGAGUAAGAUUCAGCUAUAAACCUUCUUACUUAGAUUAUACCUUAAAUCAAGUUUUCUCAGUGCUCUUUGUCCCACCCUAAAUACCAGUAUAGUACCAAAUAGCUGUUUGGUCCUUGAUGACUAACCCAAUGGAUCAAAUUUGUAAAAAAUAUACCACCACGUUUUAUAUACUUUGUAGUUGUAAAUAGAAAUUUCUAAGAUAAUCAGUUUCCCACAGUUUCAGGAGUCUGGGUUUUGUUUUUAUUACAAUAUAGGAAAAACAGUAAGCAACAGACUUUUAUUGCUAAUAAUACAUGGUAAAAAUGGAAAUGUGUCAAUACUUUGCUUAUUUCAUUGAAUCAACACAUUUGUUUCACAAUAUGCUUUGCUAUGACUACUUUCAAAGAAAGUACAUCUGAGGUUAGACUGCUGGGAAUUUUAAAUAACACACUAGUAUGACGGUAUCUUACCAUGGGUAGAAAGUGCCAAACAUCAUACUAUUAUUCCUGUGUAUCAAACAGAAACUUUCUUUCCCCUUAUUCCCUACCCAGUAUUAGCAUUGUGGAACCUAGCAGACUACAAGGCCUAGGGGUGAUUGUUCUGAUACAUAGGACCCUAACAAGGUUCUGUUUAGGAAUAAUAUUGUUCAUUUUUUCAGAGUGGUUAUGUAAGGAAAAAUUAC
Molecule: long non-coding RNA, 1428 nt
Organism: Mesoplodon densirostris (Blainville's beaked whale)
Lineage: Eukaryota; Metazoa; Chordata; Mammalia; Artiodactyla; Ziphiidae
Exons: 3
Source: RefSeq, a predicted model, not a curated record